CGUUCCCUUGCUGGAGAGAGAUGGCCCGCGCGAUGCGGUUGCCAUCCACCGAAGGAGCAAGCCGCGCGGGCCAGCCAGGGCGCCGCGGUGAAUCUCUCAGGUAAAGCGGACAGCAGGGCAAAU
RNAcentral lists this non-coding RNA (123 nucleotides) under Acidovorax delafieldii. Its description in RNAcentral is "Glycine sequence". It matches the Rfam family "Glycine riboswitch aptamer". Rfam says of the family: This family represents the bacterial glycine riboswitch. Glycine riboswitches usually consist of two metabolite-binding aptamers domains with similar structures in tandem. Lineage: Bacteria; Pseudomonadati; Pseudomonadota; Betaproteobacteria; Burkholderiales; Comamonadaceae. The record is from RNAcentral. RNAcentral also lists the same sequence under 1 other name.